UACGUUCCCGGGCCUUGUACACACCGCCCGUCACACCAUGGGAGUUGGUUUUACCCGAAGGCGUUUCGCUAACCGCAAGGGGGCAGGCGACCACGGUAGGGUCAGCGACUGGGGUG
RNAcentral lists this ribosomal RNA (116 nucleotides) under uncultured bacterium. Its description in RNAcentral is "partial 16S ribosomal RNA". It matches the Rfam family "Bacterial small subunit ribosomal RNA", at positions 1367 to 1482 of the family's 1533-position model. The record is from RNAcentral.